AGCGAACGCUGGCGGCAGGCCUAACACAUGCAAGUCGAACGAACCUUUCGGGGUUAGUGGCGGACGGGUGAGUAACACGUGGGAACGUGCCUUUAGGUUCGGCAUAACUCAGGGAAACUUGUGCUAAUACCGAAUGUGCCCUUCGGGGGAAAGAUUAAUCGCCUUUAGAGCGGCCCGCGUCUGAUUAGCUAGUUGGUUGAGGUAAUGGCUCACCAAGGCGACGAUCAGUAGCUGGUCUGAGAGGAUGAUCAGCCACAUUGGGACUGAGACACGGCCCAAACUCCUACGGGAGGCAGCAGUGGGGAAUCUUGCGCAAUGGGCGAAAGCCUGACGCAGCCAUGCCGCGUGAAUGAUGAAGGUCUUAGGAUUGUAAAAUUCUUUCAACGGGGACGAUAAUGACGGUACCCGGAGAAGAAGCCCCGGCUAACUUCGUG
This 434-nucleotide ribosomal RNA is filed under the name uncultured bacterium. RNAcentral describes it as "partial 16S ribosomal RNA". It matches the Rfam family "Bacterial small subunit ribosomal RNA", at positions 29 to 507 of the family's 1533-position model. The record is from RNAcentral.